CUCACCCGCUGGCUCUCUCGUCGCGCUGUCACUUCAUUUGCAGUUUUCAGUUCCUUUUUAAUUUACUUUAACCAUGUUUUUCUUAGCUUCUGUUAAUUCUUUAAUUUCUAUAUUUAGAAAAACGUCUCUUUUGUUCUUUUAUUUGCAUUCUUUUUCAUUUUUUUCUAAUACGUCUUGCUCCAAAAAAACUGAGCUACAAUGAGGAAGAACUGUGAAAUGUGGCACCGCUUCUUCUUUAUUUAUUUAUAGAUUUAUUUAUUUUAUUAUUUAUGGAACACUUGACGAACUGCCCUCAUGGUGAGAGUGGGACAUCGCCUAUAACAUUUGUGGGAGAAUAAGUACACUUUCUUCCGCUGUCCAAAAGGGGCGCACUCCAAAGAUUUGGUACUGACUGGUUGUAACAGCAACUCCAUGUGGAAGGUUUGUGUCUUCCAGUGGAGCUGCUGUUGCGUGCAGAUAGUCACCUUUAUCUCCUUUGGUUCUGAGUGAAAAUACGGUCCUAAUUUAAUUUAUGUGGCUGUUUAAUUUUAUCCAUGUUGGCAGAAAGCAUAUUUAACCCAGGGUCUAGGACACAGGGUGAUGACCUAUGAAUUGACAGCCAGUGUUUGCAGUCCAGCUGCCUGUCAGUUCUGUAGGCCACUGUCCUGUUUAUCCUACUAAACACACACUGGUUUGCACAGAAUGCAGGGCAUUGUAUAAAUGUUGAACUGGAAUGUUUUGGGAAUAUUUAUGUAUAUAUUCUGAUGUAGCCAUUAUGAUUUAUUUGAUAUUAUAUGUAUGCAUUUGUUUUAUUUGACUGUAUUUAAUUUCAUGUAAACAUUAAAUUAUUUCAAAAUCAAGUUCUUCUUUAAUAAUAAAUUAAUGUGACUUUCA
Long non-coding RNA from Labeo rohita (rohu), 873 nucleotides. RefSeq lists it as uncharacterized. The record is from RefSeq and is a predicted model, not a curated record. The transcript has 2 exons. Lineage: Eukaryota; Metazoa; Chordata; Actinopteri; Cypriniformes; Cyprinidae.